This 74-nucleotide transfer RNA is filed under the name Mesorhizobium sp. Its description in RNAcentral is "tRNA-Cys". It matches the Rfam family "tRNA". Rfam says of the family: Transfer RNA (tRNA) molecules are approximately 80 nucleotides in length. Their secondary structure includes four short double-helical elements and three loops (D, anti-codon, and T loops). The record is from RNAcentral. Lineage: Bacteria; Pseudomonadati; Pseudomonadota; Alphaproteobacteria; Hyphomicrobiales; Phyllobacteriaceae. RNAcentral also lists the same sequence under 6 other names.
GGCCUCGUGGAUGAAUGGUUCACGCAGAGGACUGCAAAUCCUUCAAUCCCGGUUCGAUUCGGGCGAGGCCUCCA